AAAAGAACCCCGGCGAGGGGAGUGAAAAAGAACCUGAAACCGUGUACGUACAAGCAGUGGGAGCACCUUCGGGUGUGACUGCGUACCUUUUGUAUAAUGGGUCAGCGACUUAUAUUCUGUAGCAAGGUUAACCGUAUAGGGGAGCCGCAGGGAAACCGAGUCUUAACUGGGCGUUAAGUUGCAGGGUAUAGACCCGAAACCCGGUGAUCUAGCCAUGGGCAGGUUGAAGGUUGGGUAACACUAACUGGAGGACCGAACCGACUAAUGUUGAAAAAUUAGCGGAUGACUUGUGGCUGGGGGUGAAAGGCCAAUCAAACCGGGAGAUAGCUGGUUCUCCCCGAAAGCUAUUUAGGUAGCGCCUCGUGAACUCAUCUUCGGGGGUAGAGCACUGUUUCGGCUAGGGGG
Molecule: ribosomal RNA, 405 nt
Filed under: Klebsiella pneumoniae
Lineage: Bacteria; Pseudomonadati; Pseudomonadota; Gammaproteobacteria; Enterobacterales; Enterobacteriaceae
Description: bacterial LSU rRNA
Rfam family: Bacterial large subunit ribosomal RNA
Source: RNAcentral